CUGCAGACUGUUAUCCCUUUUUGUUCUGCUGUGAGCCUAGAGGGAGUCUGUCUGCUAAAGCAAAACCCUGAGCUCAGGCUAAUGCUGUCUGCACGAUGUGUGCACGAUGGACACCUGAGCUCUGUGGACAUCU
Molecule: small nucleolar RNA, 133 nt
Filed under: Danio rerio (zebrafish)
Lineage: Eukaryota; Metazoa; Chordata; Actinopteri; Cypriniformes; Danionidae
Description: Small nucleolar RNA SNORA56 (ENSDARG00000083826.2)
Source: RNAcentral